AAAGGAAUUGACGGGGGCCCGCACAAGCGGUGGAGCAUGUGGUUUAAUUCGAUGAUACGCGAGGAACCUUACCAGGGCUUAAAUGUGUUUUGACAGUUUAGGAAACUUUACUUUCGCAAGACAAAAUACAAGGUGCUGCAUGGUUGUCGUCAGCUCGUGCCGUGAGGUGUCAGGUUAAGUCCUAUAACGAGCGCAACCCCUGUUGUUAGUUGCCAGCGAGUCAUGUCGGGAACUCUAACAAGACUGCCGGUGUAAACCGUGAGGAAGGUGGGGAUGACGUCAAAUCAUCACGGCCCUUACGUCCUGGGCCACACACGUGCUACAAUGGCCGGUACAGAGAGCAGCCACUAUGCGAAUAGGCGCGAAUCUUCAAAACCGGUCUCAGUUCGGAUUGGAGUCUGCAACUCGACUCUAUGAAGCUGGAAUCGCUAGUAAUCGGAUAUCAGCCAUGAUCCGGUGAAUACGUUCCCGGGCCUUGUACACACCGCCCGU
Molecule: ribosomal RNA, 492 nt
Filed under: uncultured bacterium
Lineage: Bacteria
Description: bacterial SSU rRNA
Rfam family: Bacterial small subunit ribosomal RNA
Source: RNAcentral